UCGGGAAUUUUGGGCAAUGGGGGAAACCCUGACCCAGCAACGCCGCGUGAAGGAUGAAGUAUUUCGGUAUGUAAACUUCGUAAGAAUAGGAAGAAUAAAUGACGGUACUAUUUGUAAGGUCCGGCUAACUACGUGCCAGCAGCCGCGGUAAUACGUAGGGACCAAGCGUUGUUCGGAUUUACUGGGCGUAAAGGGCGCGUAGGCGGUGUGUCAAGUCAGUUGUGAAAUCUCCGAGCUUAACUCGGAACGGUCAACUGAUACUGUCACACUAGAGUACAGAAGGGGCAAUCGGAAUUCUUGGUGUAGCGGUGAAAUGCGUAGAUAUCAAGAGGAACACCUGAGGCGAAGGCGGGUUGCUGGGCUGAUACUGACGCUGAGGCGCGAAAGCUAGGGUAGCAAACGGGAUUAGAUACCCACGUAGUCCCUGAGCGGGCUGGCAAGGCGCAU
Molecule: ribosomal RNA, 447 nt
Filed under: uncultured bacterium
Lineage: Bacteria
Description: bacterial SSU rRNA
Rfam family: Bacterial small subunit ribosomal RNA
Source: RNAcentral